This 440-nucleotide ribosomal RNA is filed under the name uncultured bacterium. Its description in RNAcentral is "bacterial SSU rRNA". It matches the Rfam family "Bacterial small subunit ribosomal RNA", at positions 28 to 507 of the family's 1533-position model. The record is from RNAcentral.
GAUGAACGCUGGCGGUAUGCCUAACACAUGCAAGUCGUACGAGAGUUUUUAACUCUAGUGGCGGACGGGUGAGUAACACGUGAGAAUUUGCCUUUAGGAGGGGGAUAACAAUUGGAAACGAAUGCUAAUACCCCAUAUGCUUUCGAGUGAAAUGGAUUUUAUCCGCCUAGAGAGAAGCUCGCGGCUGAUUAGCUUGUUGGUAAGGUAAGAGCUUACCAAGGCGACGAUCAGUAUCUGGUUUGAGAGGACGAUCAGACACACUGGAACUGAGACACGGUCCAGACUCCUACGGGAGGCAGCAGUGGGGAAUUUUCCGCAAUGGGCGAAAGCCUGACGGAGCAAUACCGCGUGAGGGAAGAAUGCCUAUGGGUUGUAAACCUCUUUUUCAGGGAGGAAUAAAAUGACGUGUACCUGAAGAAUAAGCAUCGGCUAACUCCGUG